RNAcentral lists this ribosomal RNA (446 nucleotides) under uncultured bacterium. RNAcentral describes it as "partial 16S ribosomal RNA". It matches the Rfam family "Bacterial small subunit ribosomal RNA", at positions 338 to 795 of the family's 1533-position model. The record is from RNAcentral.
CCUACGGGUGGCAGCAGUCGAGAAUCAUUCACAAUGGGGGAAACCCUGAUGGUGCGACGCCGCGUGGGGGAAUGAAGGUCUUCGGAUUGUAAACCCCUGUCAUGUGGGAGCAAAUUAAAAAGAUAGUACCACAAGAGGAAGAGACGGCUAACUCUGUGCCAGCAGCCGCGGUAAUACAGGGGUCUCAAGCGUUGUUCGGAAUCACUGGGCGUAAAGCGUGCGUAGGCUGUUUCGUAAGUCGUGUGUGAAAGGCGCGGGCUCAACCCCCGGACGGCACAUGAUACUGCGAGACUAGAGUGAUGGAGAGGGAACCGGAAUUCUCGGUGUAGCAGUGAAAUGCGUAGAUAUCAGGAGGAACACUCGUGGCGAAGGCGGGUUCCUGGACAUUAACUGACGCUGAGGCACGAAGGCGAGGGGAGCGAAAGGGAUUAGAUACCCCAGUAGUC